Molecule: ribosomal RNA, 429 nt
Filed under: Bacteroidota bacterium
Lineage: Bacteria; Pseudomonadati; Bacteroidota
Description: Bacteroidetes bacterium partial 16S ribosomal RNA
Rfam family: Bacterial small subunit ribosomal RNA
Source: RNAcentral
UAGGGAAUCUUCCGCAAUGGACGCAAGUCUGACGGAGCAACGCCGCGUGAGUGAAGAAGGAUUUCGGUUCGUAAAACUCUGUUGUUAGAGAAGAACAGCGCAUAGAGUAACUGUUAUGCGUGUGACGGUAUCUAACCAGAAAGCCACGGCUAACUACGUGCCAGCAGCCGCGGUAAUACGUAGGUGGCAAGCGUUGUCCGGAUUUAUUGGGCGUAAAGCGAGCGCAGGCGGUCAAUUAAGUCUGAUGUGAAAGCCCCCGGCUCAACCGGGGAGGGUCAUUGGAAACUGGUUGACUUGAGUGCAGAAGAAGAGAGUGGAAUUCCAUGUGUAGCGGUGAAAUGCGUAGAUAUAUGGAGGAACACCAGUGGCGAAGGCGACUCUCUGGUCUGUAACUGACGCUGAGGCUCGAAAGCGUGGGUAGCAAACAGG